UCCGUAGGUGAACCUGCGGAGGGAUCAUUGCUGGAACUGUGCCCUCACGGGCACAAACCCCAGAUACCCUUUGUGAACUUAUACCAUUUUAUCGUUGCCUCGGCGCUGAGCCCCGGGGGGGUUGGUAUUGAAAGAGAAGAAAAAAAUACUUUUUUCUCUCUCUCUUCCCUCCCCCCCCCCGCCUUCUACCGUGCAAACGGUUGUUGGAGCAGGCCCGCCGGCGGCCCACCAAACUCUUUGUUUUUAUAACCUAUCUCUUCUGAGUACAUUAAAAAAAAAAAAUGAAUCAAAACUUUCAACAACGGAUCUCUUGGUUCUGGCAUCGAUGAAGAACGCAGCGAAAUGCGAUAAGUAAUGUGAAUUGCAGAAUUCAGUGAAUCAUCGAAUCUUUGAACGCACAUUGCGCCCGCUGGAAUUCCAGCGGGCAUGCCUGUUCGAGCGUCAUUUCAACCCUCAAGCCUGGCUUGGUGUUGGGGUACUACCCGUCAAACGGUAGGCCCUGAAAUUUAGUGGCGGGCUCGCUAAGACUCUGAGCGUAGUAGUUUUUUCAACCUCGCUUUGGAAGGAUUAGCGGUUGCUCUUGCCGUAAAACCCCCCCAAUCAUCUGAAAUUUUGACCUCGGAUCAGGUAGGAAUACCCGCUGAACUUAAGCAUAUCAAUAAGCGGAGGA
This 670-nucleotide ribosomal RNA is filed under the name Cryphonectria nitschkei. Its description in RNAcentral is "eukaryotic LSU rRNA". The stretch from base 291 to 444 matches the Rfam family "5.8S ribosomal RNA". The record is from RNAcentral. Lineage: Eukaryota; Fungi; Ascomycota; Sordariomycetes; Diaporthales; Cryphonectriaceae.